CUACGGGUUGCUGCAGUAAGGAAUAUUGCGCAAUGGAGGCAACUCUGACGCAGCCAUGCCGCGUGCAGGAAGAAGGCCUUAUGGGUCGUAAACUGCUUUUAUUUAGGAAUAAACCCCCGAACGUGUUCGGGGCUGAAGGUACUAAACGAAUAAGCACCGGCUAACUCCGUGCCAGCAGCCGCGGUAAUACGGAGGGUGCAAGCGUUAUCCGGAUUUAUUGGGUUUAAAGGGUGCGCAGGCGGGCUAUUAAGUCAGUGGUGAAAUCCCGGGGCUCAACCCCGGAACUGCCAUUGAUACUGAUAGUCUUGAGUGUGGUUGAAGUGGGCGGAAUGUAGCAUGUAGCGGUGAAAUGCAUAGAUAUGCUACAGAACACCAAUCGCGAAGGCAGCUCACUAAGCCAAAACUGACGCUCAUGCACGAAAGCGUGGGGAUCAAACAGGAUUAGAUACCCGCGUAGUC
This 459-nucleotide ribosomal RNA is filed under the name uncultured bacterium. RNAcentral's name for it is "partial 16S ribosomal RNA". It matches the Rfam family "Bacterial small subunit ribosomal RNA", at positions 339 to 795 of the family's 1533-position model. The record is from RNAcentral.